UUGACCGGCCUGGAAAUUGAAAUCCUCUUUACUUACAGAUCAGUUAUAACAAGGACAGCAGCAGUGCAUGCUUCUCUAGAUGUCUUGCCAAUGUGCCUCACCUUAUGGCCAGAGCUGAUGAAUAGUAAGUUCAGCCUCUGCAUCUACUAAUUCUUUGAUCUUU
Unclassified non-coding RNA from Chelonoidis abingdonii (Abingdon island giant tortoise), 163 nucleotides. NCBI's taxonomy places the organism in Eukaryota, Metazoa, Chordata, Testudines, Testudinidae. The record is from Ensembl.